This 502-nucleotide ribosomal RNA is filed under the name uncultured bacterium. RNAcentral's name for it is "bacterial SSU rRNA". It matches the Rfam family "Bacterial small subunit ribosomal RNA", at positions 40 to 509 of the family's 1533-position model. The record is from RNAcentral.
CGGCGUGCCUAAUACAUGCAAGUCGAGCGAGCGGAACUAACAGAUUUACUUCGGUAAUGACGUUAGGAAAGCGAGCGGCGGAUGGGUGAGUAACACGUGGGGAACCUGCCCCAUAGUCUGGGAUACCACUUGGAAACAGGUGCUAAUACCGGAUAAGAAAGCAGAUCGCAUGAUCAGCUUUUAAAAGGCGGCGUAAGCUGUCGCUAUGGGAUGGCCCCGCGGUGCAUUAGCUAGUUGGUAAGGUAAAGGCUUACCAAGGCGAUGAUGCAUAGCCGAGUUGAGAGACUGAUCGGCCACAUUGGGACUGAGACACGGCCCAAACUCCUACGGGAGGCAGCAGUAGGGAAUCUUCCACAAUGGACGCAAGUCUGAUGGAGCAACGCCGCGUGAGUGAAGAAGGUUUUCGGAUCGUAAAGCUCUGUUGUUGGUGAAGAAGGAUAGAGGUAGUAACUGGCCUUUAUUUGACGGUAAUCAACCAGAAAGUCACGGCUAACUACGUGCC